This is a long non-coding RNA of Syngnathus typhle (broad-nosed pipefish), 1984 nucleotides long. RefSeq lists it as uncharacterized. Lineage: Eukaryota; Metazoa; Chordata; Actinopteri; Syngnathiformes; Syngnathidae. The transcript has 2 exons. The record is from RefSeq and is a predicted model, not a curated record.
UCAAUAUUUUUGAUAACACCAUCAAAAUUACAUUACAUUACAUUUAACUCACUGGUUUUGUUAAUAUAGUUUGAAAGUCUGUCUGAUGGUGCUUUAUUUAAAUCAAUUACUGUUAAUACCAUGCAUAAUGCGCAAAAUUUAGCUAAUUUAUUGUCCUAAAAUCUGGGGUCAAAAGUCAAAGUCAAAGUCUGCUUUAUUGUCAACGUCUUCACAUGCCGAGACACACAAAGAGAUCAAAAUUACGUUUUCUCUAUCCCACGGUGACAAGACAUAUUACACGAUAGACAUACAAGUAAACGACGCAAUAUAAAAAACAAGAAGUCACAUACAAUAAAUAAUAAGAGUAAUAAUAAAUAAUAAAUAAACAGAUACCACAACAUAUAAGAGCCAGUGUGCAUAUAGACAGUAAAAGUACAGGACGCUACGCAAAACGGGGAAGCGAGUUCAGGAUCCUAACAGCCUGGAGUAUGAAGCUGUUUGAGAGUCUGGUGGUACGGGAGCGCAGGCUUCUGUACCUCUUCCCAGAGGGCAGAAGCUCGAACAAAGAGUGAGCGGGGUGACUCACAUCACUCACAAUCGUGGUCGCCUUGCGGGUGAGAUGGGAGGUGUAAAUGUCUUUCAAGGAGGGGAGCGAAGCACCAAUAAUUUUACCAGCCGUGUUCACUAUGCGCUGCAGGGCCUUCAAGUUGUAGUCAGUGCAGCCGCCACCCCAAACAGCAAUACAGCUGGAGAGGACGCUCUCAAUGGUGCCGCGGUAAAAUGUAGUCAUGACGGCCGGAGGAGCGCACGCUUGCCUGAGUUUCCGCAGGAAGUACAGGCGGCGCUGGGCUUUCUUUGCCAGUGAUGCGGUGUUGGUGGACCAGGAGAGAUCCUCACUGAUGUGCACCCCCAGGAACUUGGCGCUGCUCACUCUCUCCACCACAGCACCGUCGAUGGUCAGCGGCAGGUGUUGGGUGUGACCCUUCCGGAAGUCCACAACAAUCUCCCUGGUCUUGUCGACGUUCAGCAGGAGGUUGUUGUCCCUACAUCACGUGGUCAGAAGGUUGCAGUGCAGUCACGCGUCAGGAGGGUGAAGAGCAGCGGACUGAGCACGCAGCCUUGGGGGGGCCCCCGUGCUCAGCGUGAUGCUGGCGGAGAUUUUGUCGCCAACACGUACUACCUGUGGCCUCUGACAGAGGAAGUCCAGUAGCCAGUUGCAGAGGUAGGUACUGAGGCCCAGCGUGUCAAGUUUGCUGAUGAGGCGUUGUGGCACAAUGGUGUUGAAGGCAGAAGUGAAGUCCACAAACAGCAAUCUCACAUACGAGUCCCUUCUCUCCAGGUGGGUGAGGGCCGAGUGGAGGGCAGAACAGAUGGCAUCCUUAGAGGACCGUUUGGCUCGGUACGCAAACUGGAAGGGGUCAAUGGUGGGGGGAGAACGGAUCGGAUGUGCUCCAUCACAAGCCGCUCAAAGCACUUCAUGAUGAUGGGCGUAAGUGCCACGGGGCGGUAGUCAUUGAAGCAGGACGGAGCGGGUUUCUUCGGCACAGGUACGAUGGUGGCAGCUUUGAAACACGACGGGACGAUGGCCUGCUGCAGGGAAGUGUUAACGAUGUCUGUGAAGACAUCCGUCAGCUCACCAGCGCAGUCCUUCAGCGCUCGACCCGGGAUGUUGUCAGGGCCCGCCGCCUUACGGAUGUUGAUAGCGGCAAGCGCCCUCCUCACGCUGUCAGCGGAGAGGCACAGGGGCAGCUCGUGUGAAGGGGGAGUGGCCUUCAGCGGGCAAGUGCUGUUCUGAGCGUCGAAGCGAGCAAAGAAGCGGUUGAGGUCAUUGAGCAGACGGACGUCGCCUUCACAGCUCUGCGGCGCGGGCUUGUAAUCCGUGAUGGUCUGAAUGCCCUGCCAAAGGCUCCGUGCGUCCCUGCUGUCCUUGAAGGACAUUAUGCGCAUUAUGCAUGGGUACAACAAUCUUUGAAGAAAAACCCCUCAAAAUAAAACUUGAAAUUAC